GACGAACGCUGGCGGCGUGCUUAACACAUGCAAGUCGAACGGAAAGGCCCUGCUUUUGUGGGGUGCUCGAGUGGCGAACGGGUGAGUAACACGUGAGUAACCUGCCCUUGACUUUGGGAUAACUUCAGGAAACUGGGGCUAAUACCGGCUAGGAGCUCCUGCUGCAUGGUGGGGGUUGGAAAGUUUAGGCGGUUGGGGAUGGACUCGCGGCUUAUCAGCUUGUUGGUGGGGUUGUGGGUUACCAAGGCUUUGACGGGUAGCCGGAGCGGGCGGGUGACGAGGCACAGUGGGACUGGGACUGGGACCAGACCCAUACGGGAGGGAGCAGUAGGGAAGAUUGAUAAAGGGGCGGGAGCGUGAUGCAGCAACGGCGCGGGCGGGAUAACGGUCUUCGGGUUGGAGACCGCUAUCGCCUUUGACGGAGAGGGAGAGAAGGGAACGGGUAGAGAAGGACCGGCCAAAUACGGU
Molecule: ribosomal RNA, 468 nt
Filed under: uncultured bacterium
Lineage: Bacteria
Description: partial 16S ribosomal RNA
Rfam family: Bacterial small subunit ribosomal RNA
Source: RNAcentral